Molecule: ribosomal RNA, 406 nt
Filed under: uncultured bacterium
Lineage: Bacteria
Description: partial 16S ribosomal RNA
Rfam family: Bacterial small subunit ribosomal RNA
Source: RNAcentral
AUUGAACGCUGGCGGCAGGCCUAACACAUGCAAGUCGAGCGAGCGGCGGACGGGUGAGUAAUGUCUGGGAAACUGCCUGAUGGAGGGGGAUAACUACUGGAAACGGUAGCUAAUACCGCAUACCAUCAGAUGUGCCCAGAUGGGAUUAGCUAGUAGGUGGGGUAAUGGCUCACCUAGGCGACGAUCCCUAGCUGGUCUGAGAGGAUGACCAGAAAAACUGGAACUGGGACACGGUCCAGACACCUACGGAAGGGAGCAGUGGGGAAUAUUGCACAAUGGGCGCAAGCCUGAUAAAGCCAUGCCGCGUGUGUGGAGAAGGCCUUCGGGUUGAAAAGCACUUUCAGCGGGGAGACGUUACCCGCAGAGGAAGCACCGGCUAACUCCGUGCCAGCAGCCGCGGUAAUAC